RNAcentral lists this ribosomal RNA (348 nucleotides) under Triticum aestivum (bread wheat). RNAcentral describes it as "partial small subunit ribosomal RNA". Lineage: Eukaryota; Viridiplantae; Streptophyta; Magnoliopsida; Poales; Poaceae. The record is from RNAcentral.
AUGGUGAGAAUCUUGGAGGAGAAAGGGUGCAGAUUGAUGAAGAUGUUGAGGAGAAAUGGAGAAGAGAAAGAACCAAAGAGAAGGAGGGGGGCGAAUGGUGAUGUGGCUGCAAUGAUGGAGAAGUACUUGGACAUAAGGACGAAGCAGGUGGAGGAUGAGAGGAAUAAGCCAAAGGUCGUGGAUGAGUACUCUAUCAAAAACUGCAUUGAUCUGCUGAAAACAAUGGAGAUCACACUUGAAGAAGAAGUCAAGGCUUUCCGAGUCUUCAAGAUCCCCGAGAACCGAGAGAUUUUCGUGAGUGCCAGACCGGAGACUGCUCUUAUGUGGCUGAGAGCUGAAAUGGAAUAA